RNAcentral lists this ribosomal RNA (253 nucleotides) under uncultured bacterium. RNAcentral's name for it is "partial 16S ribosomal RNA". It matches the Rfam family "Bacterial small subunit ribosomal RNA", at positions 524 to 776 of the family's 1533-position model. The record is from RNAcentral.
UACGGAGGGGACUAGCGUUGUCCGGAUUUACUGGGCGUAAAGAGCGCGCAGGCGGUCGUUCAAGUCGCGUGUGAAAGCCCCCGGCUCAACUGGGGAGGGUCACGCGAUACUGAUCGACUCGAAGGCAGGAGAGGGUAGUGGAAUUCCCGGUGUAGUGGUGAAAUGCGUAGAUAUCGGGAAGAACACCCGUGGCGAAGGCGGUUCUCUGGGACGGUACUGACGCUGAGACGCGAAAGCGUGGGGAGCGAACAGG